UGAUGAACAUCAGAUGACGAGUCUUAUCCGAGUUUUCGAUGCAGACACCAUAUUUACUACCAUUCAUGCAUUUCCUGA
Molecule: non-coding RNA, 78 nt
Organism: Fusarium venenatum
Lineage: Eukaryota; Fungi; Ascomycota; Sordariomycetes; Hypocreales; Nectriaceae
Source: RefSeq, a predicted model, not a curated record